UUUUCAAACCACGUAGCAUUAGAUUUUUUUGUAAAGGUUAACUUAACUAAACUAGCAAAAGAGAUUUGUUACUAGCAACAAAUGAACUUUAUGUGUAGCACAUGUGUUUCUAUAAAGCGUAAAACUCACACGUUUAACGUGAGUGACGCAGUAAACCAUGGUUUUAUUGUGGUAAAAGUGUAGUAACCAUGUUUACAUGGUUUAACUAUGGUUUUGGGAAACCAUGGAUGUCAAACCCAUGGUUAUUUUGUGGUUACUACGGUUUUACCACAGUAACCAUGUUUUUCUGGUUUUAACCGUAGUAAAACCAUGGUUAAUUUUCGUUAGGGUAAGAUUAUGUGAAGAUUUGCUGAGCAGCAAAGCAUGAUUCAUUAGAUAAUUUAGCAUUACAGCUACAGAGGCUACUUCUCACCUUACAAAUUACACUAAAUUGUUGGUCAAAUGGAAAUCUCUCUGUCCUCAGUCAGACAUCUCACCUUGGCUUAACUUACCUGUUGACCUUUACUCACAAGAUAAAACCAUUCUCUGCUUGGCUAGAGAGAGAGAAAUGCUGAUGAAGGACAGCGGCAGUCAUAAUGAUAAAGACAUUUAAUUUAAUGUGAAUAAGGUACCAGAGACAGAGUGUAUUCUGUAAAAAAGCAUAUAAUGUAUCUCUUUUUGUUUCCGUUACCAAUCUCAACCAUGACCUUUGACUGCUGAGCAUGUAAACAUUAAAAACACAUGAAAUAUAAUGUUGCUAAUAUUUGCUAAUGUCUCUUCAGGUUCCCACCACUUACAAUUACACACCGGGGCCAGCCACACCCACCACCUCCACUGGGACAUCAUACCGCUCGGGCUCUAGCACCAGCGUUACCACACCUUUACCAGCAACAGACUUCGCUCCAGUGACCUGUCUGUCAAAUGACUACCAAGGAAGACAUCAGAUUUCCAAAGAGGAGCUUGAACAUGUUCUUUCACUGAAAACCACCUUUACAGAAGCGGCAUCUAUUCUUUCAAUCUCAAGGCCAACUUUCUACAAGUUAUAAUAUCCCAACAUCAAAAUUUAAGAGCAUCAGUGAUCAACAGUUGGAUCUUGAAGUGUCACACAUAAAAACUGAACACCCAAAUGUUGGAGAAGUGAUGCUUAUGGGGCAUCUCCGCUCCAAAAACAUUGUGGUUCAAAGACAACGUGUAAGAGAUUCUCUGCGAAGAAUGGACCCAAUUGGUGUCCUAGCCAGGAGAAGAACAGCAAUAGCUCGGCGAGUAUACUCUGUCCCCCAUCCAAAUUUCAUAUGGCAUGUAGAUGGAAAUCAUAAGUUGAUUUGGUGGAAAUUAGUUGUUCAUGGUGCCAUAGACGGCUACAGUAGGAUGUUGAUGUUUCUUCACUGCUCCAACAAUAAUCGUGCUGAAACUGUUAAAGACCUCUUUACUGCAGCUGUUGGACAGUUUGGCAGACCACUGCACAUCAGGACUGAUCACGGAGGAGAAAACGUUUAGAUUUGGGAGGACAUGCAUGCGAGCAGGGGGGAAGGCUCUGUGUUAACAGGAAGGUCUGUACACAACCAGAGGAAAGAGGGUUUAAUCGAGACUUGAACAAAAACUGCAGCCAUGUUUAUGCACCCAUUUUUUAUGAACUGGAAUCCCUGGGUAUCCUAGACAUUGACAAUGCAACAAACCUAUUUUGUCUCCAUUAUGUCUUUCUACCCCGAAUCAACCGCACUUUGGAGGAAUUCAAAGCUGGAUUUAACAAUCACUCUAUAUCAUCUGAAGGAAAUAGAACACCAGUUCAGCUUUUUACUCUGGACAAUGAUUUGCCUCAUUUUCACAACCCAGAACGCUCAACAGCAGGGGUAGUUUUUUGUUCCUCACACAACUAUCAAAGAGGAUUUUCCCCAUUGAAUGAUAGGGAUUUGCAAGAACUGAAUGCUGCCAUUAACCCUCUUCAAAAUGACAACAACAAUGGCAAAACAUUGUUUCAGAGAACACAACAGUUUAUUUUUGAUAAACUCGUAAAUGUGUGACUUCAGCAUAACAUGGACAACUGGGUAACACUAGCCUUUUUGUACUUUCAAAAGUACACAACACAAAUAUUGAUGUUUUGUUGUGCUUCUUGAACUACAAGAUUUAAAACCUCUUGCCAGCAUAUAGAUGUUUGAAAAUUACAUGGCGGCACAUACUUGAUGUCAGUGUUAAAAAGGCUACAGACGCACUUUUGCAUCUGUUAGUUUUCUGUCAAGUCAAAAGCAAUGGUAGUGUGGAUAAAAACAAGAUGACUCAUGUUAUGUGAAAGAACAGUAAAAUACUUUUUAGGGCUCUACAGAUUGUCUACAGACAGUAUUGAUACAUAACUGAUUUCCACUACAUUGUUCUUGUUUUUUUAAAGUACCUAAAUAUGCAAAGUAAAAGUACUCAAUGAAGUAAAACAA
Non-coding RNA from Paramisgurnus dabryanus, 2405 nucleotides. Lineage: Eukaryota; Metazoa; Chordata; Actinopteri; Cypriniformes; Cobitidae. The record is from RefSeq and is a predicted model, not a curated record.